GCCUGCCAUAUGUGGUGGUUCCAUUUAUUCAUAGAGACUCUGACUCGUCUGCUGAGGACCUUGAACCCCCAAGGUGGUGAGUCUGCCUCACCACCAAAGCCUUGUAGACUGGGAUUGGAGACCACACAUCAGCCUUGUAAGGUGGCAGAGAUCUGAAUGAUGCCCUGGUGUGAUCUGACUCCCUGAGUGGUAAGCGGCUCUCCUUAAAGCAGCUUCUCUAUUAAGAGGUCUCUAUUUCUGGCUGCAAAUUCCACAGACUUUAAAUCACUUUAAUUAAGGCUUUACUUUUCUUCGAUGUUUAAUUGGCCAAUCCUCAUUGAUGACCAUCUGGGGAAGAUUGUUUAUGCAUCUCCUGGAUUCUGUGUAAGUAGCUGCGAUGGUGAGGAUGGACCUGGUGUGAUGGUGGUGCUGGAGAGAAGGAAGCAGAAAUUCGAACAGUUUCAGUGACUUGCCCAUAAUUCUAAACCUAGGAGGUCCUGUUCAUACUCAGACAAGUGAAAACUAAAACAACUUUGAACCUUAAAUUUUACUUGAAAUCUCUUGCAUCUCACCAUUACCAAGUGGGAAGAUUUUUAUGCUGGUCACUGAGUACAGGUAGUGAUAAUUCAGCAUAAUCGAUGGCCUGCUGUGUUCUUGCAAAUUGCUUUGAUACUCAGAGGUAAAAGCCAAGGAAUUACUGGUUGCAAUAGAGUCCUCCAUCUUCUCAUUUCUUUUUCCUCCCUCAUUUUGUCCCUACAAGAAUGGCUGCCACUUUUUCAGUAUUGUGCUUUUUUGGUUUCAUUUUAGAAUUCUUAGUUUCUUCAUUUUUUGAUUUACGAUUUUCUACUCCAUACCCUAAGAGGAAUAAGUUGUUUUUGAAGUGUUGCUCUUUAAUGACGCCUUAAUGAUAAUAAGAUAAUAUACAGUGAGUGGCGGGUUAUUUUCCUGUAAGGAAUAGAAUGUUAUUGAGAUUUGGGACAGCGAAAACUCUUAUUUGUUUGCCUGAUCCUGUACUUGUCACCUAUCAUUGCUGUAGGCAACUUCAUCCAAUCUUCCACUAACCUGACCUGCAAUAUAGAGUUGUGCUUAAUGUUGGCAACUUAAUGAGUUGCAUUUGCAGGAAAAUUAACAUUAAUAUGACUAGGUAGAGGGAAAUGUUUACCUUGAAGGAAUACUCCUCUGAUGCUGGAAUUUUGGGUAAAAGCAGUGACAUGUUUUGCAGUGAGCUUACUAGGUUUCAGACAAGAUACUAAGUGCUUCUCACAUCAUCUCAAAUUCUAGUCUCUUUGUUUUGUUAUUCUAAAGGCUACAUUUAGCACCUAACCACUGAAAUCCAAUGGGAUGGACUGUGAGGGACAUCUUUGCACAUUCAUUGCUAAUCAGACUCAGGUACUUUGUGGGUACAACUCCUCCUUGGGGAAGGUUAAUUCUCCUCUUCUUCAAUAAUAGUAGGAGAGGAACAUCAUGUCCUCUGUGAAGAAGGGAGGACCCUUUUUUUGAACACCUACUGUAAGCCAGGCACAUUUAAACAUUGCGUGGAAAAUCCAUUGUUAUUUUUCGUGUUUAGAAUUGGGUGCUGCAACACUGAUUUUUUAGGCAGACAGAAGGAAACGAAUUCUAGAGAACUCAUUUGGCAGAAGCAUUGCCAUUCUGAGCCGUGGCCCAGCCUUCAUCACUCAGGAAGGGAGUUGGAUAGAAGCUCGCCUGAACCCUUCCAUCCCAGCAGUCUUCACACACAGCUUAGAGUUGCCCAACCUGGGGGCAAAUAUGUUGCCCCUGCCUUUUCUCCCAAAUGAUUCUCCUAAGUCUGCAGCAUUUACUUGAGCCCACCCCGCUUACCUAUUACUGCCCAUCUUGUUCUGGGGUUGAGAGAAUUACACAGUUCUGAUUUUCAAAACCUCAUUCCCCCAAAAUGUUAAAAAAGGUGUGUAGUAUGACCAAGACAUACCAAGUGGUUCUGCAUUGUCUGUCUGUUGUGCCUGGGAUAUAAUGCCUUCCACCAAAGACUCAUGUAUUAAAG
This is a long non-coding RNA of Heterocephalus glaber (naked mole-rat), 1999 nucleotides long. The record is from Ensembl. Lineage: Eukaryota; Metazoa; Chordata; Mammalia; Rodentia; Bathyergidae.